GCGAGUCGAGUAAAAAAGGCACGAUCUCGAGGCAACAAAAGGAGAAGUGGAAGCACAGGGGGAAAUCGAAUACACAAACCAAAGGUGAAAAGCAAGAUGAAAUGCACUUUUCUCGACUUGAAAACUGAAUUUUCGGUAAGUAAGGCUGCUCUAACCUAUUAGUUUCGCGUUUUACUUUCGUAAUCGAGGAGGUCCCAGCACUAGAAAGAGAAAGAAGAGCGUUUGAUCUACUAAUAGCGGUAGCGGCAUAAGAACAGCAACUAUACUGGCAAUUGCUUCAACCUAAGCAAGACGCAUUAAAGGCUGUUAAAUAUAUAUCUUCUCAGGCACAGUUGCUUUCCUUGAUUUUGAUUCGGGCACAGUGUCUUCGACAAAUCGUUCUCUCAGUCUCAGUCUCAUCUCUGGUCCUGUGGGUUAGUCACCUUAGUCCAGUGUAUCAGAAAGCACAUCUUUCUUUCCGAGUCAUAACAUAAAUAAGGAGUUAGACUCAGCCUUGAUAUAUGAGCAAGGUAAAUUAACCAAAGCGAAUCUCGUUCAACCCCGCUCCUCGGCCUUCUUUAAAGCCUUGUGACUCCCAUCCCAUCAAGUCAGGAACCAAAAACUGAAAGACGCCUAGCCCCGGUUAGGCGGAGAUCAAGGGAUGCGCGUUAGCCCUUUAUUAGUAAUGGAGGCUUUCCUUUUUUCGUCAAAGAAAAGCCCCCCCCAUAAGAAAAGGAGGCGUGGGGGUUUGUUUACCUUGCUUGCCUUAAUUAUUUAUAUAAUAUAGAAGGGUCGAGCGUCUUCAAACCUUAGCACAAGCACUAAGUCAGAAACCUACCUUUUGACAACCUUACUAAUAGAAAGGGGAAAGAUGCGCUCAAUCCGUUGCUUGUUGCUCCAACUUAGGAGUACGGGGCUCGUUGAGCCUUUUCUGCAGGCUGCUAUGCUAGUUGUAGCGCUAGCGCUUUACUAAUAGAAUAUAAAGUAAAUGGGACUUUAUCAUGAUCUUAAGAAUCUACAACUCUCUUUACUGAGCGAGACUCUACCCAGAUCUAAAGAAUUAGCCAAAGAGCCUUCUUCUAACUAGGAGAGUAAGCAAGCUACCGGAAGCGAAGCUUCUGGCUCCCCGAAUUUCCAAUUCCUUCUUUUCGUUCUACUUAGGUGGAGCAAUCCGAACUCUCGACAGAAUAUAAAAGAGCGUCUUCGAACCUGUGUAGACACCUCAACGAACUCAUGUGGACACUCCUCAGCCCGAGCCGAGGACAAUCUCUAAAAAAUACAAAAUAAGAUGUUGACCCCUUUUUAUUUUCUUUGCGGAUUCCUCUCAAUUUAAUUUGCCAUGUUGCACUAAGUUACUUACGUAUGUAUGCAUGCGGUCCGGGAACACUUUGGGGUGAACACCCAUCCGAACAAGUAGGGUCAAUAGUUCAGCAUUUAGGCCGUAACAUUUAGCAACAAAAAAAUCUUUAACCCAACAAGUGCUCUCCGAACCAAGCUAGAUAGUCUCCUAUCACUAGGCUAGCCAACCAACCUGGACUUUGAUUCUGAUUAUUCCUACCGGAUAUCAAAACCAUAAGGAUUGUUUCCAGCCAUGAGUUCCCAUAUUACAUAAGCGCUCUUGGGUGGGCUGGGCCAUUCCAUCAAAUCUUUGAGAAGGGGCCCAAUCUCGUAUUUGAUGGUCGGCGUGGCGAUAGGCUUCGCUUCUGCGACUGCCUCCCCAGCCGUUGCAAAGACUAAGCGAGAACGGUAAGGGGCGCACAAAGAAUGUCGUUGCGCGGGGAUGCGAUUAGUCAAGCUGGGGCAAAGAAAGCCGUCCGGCCCCCUACCGGUUCCAAAUUAGGAAUGUGAAGGCCUUUCCUUCGAAAGGAGACCGGGGAAAGAAAGAGCUAUGCUAUUGACCGACCCUUUCGUAGUGACUUCGAAUCCAUAGUCCUAUCCUUUUUUAUUAUUAUUUUUUGAGGCGGGCCGAAUAGAGAAUGAAAUGCAGAAAUACGGGAAGAGUUCCAAACCUUUUUUUUUGUUUAAGGGCUGCUCGCCCUACCGAAGUACUAAAGGCUUUCGAGGCUGACACCUCCCUAUUACACGACCUAAAAAAAGGUAGCUUGCUGUAGCGCC
RNAcentral lists this small RNA (2094 nucleotides) under Lupinus albus (white lupine). Its description in RNAcentral is "hypothetical ncRNA". The record is from RNAcentral. Lineage: Eukaryota; Viridiplantae; Streptophyta; Magnoliopsida; Fabales; Fabaceae.